Molecule: ribosomal RNA, 2057 nt
Filed under: hot springs metagenome
Description: bacterial LSU rRNA
Rfam family: Bacterial large subunit ribosomal RNA
Source: RNAcentral
UUAAGUUACGAACGGCAUAUGGUGGAUGCCUAGGCACAAGGAGGCGAAGAAGGACGUGGUAAGCUGCGAUAAGCCACGGUGAGGUGCACACAACCUUAGACCCGUGGAUAUCCGAAUGGGGCAACCCGGCUCUGGUCAUGCGGAGUCAUUCCGACUUGUCGGGAGGCGAACCCAGGGAAGUGAAACAUCUAAGUACCUGGAGGAUAAGAAAACGAAGUGAUUUCCUUAGUAGCGGCGAGCGAAGAGGAAGGAGCCUAAACCUUAACACAUGUAAUAGCCUGCAAGCGUUGUGUGUUAGGUGUAGUGGGUCAUAGACGUUUGUAUUUGCAGAUACAAAGUGAAGUCAUAAAUCUGCAAGAUAGUCGAAGUUGUCUGGAAAGUCACACCGUAGGAGGUGAGAGUCCUGUAGGCGAAAUUUUGCAGACUUCAUUGUUUAUGUACCCGAGUACUGCGGGACACGAGAAAUCCUGUAGGAAUCAGCCCGGCCCAUCGGGUAAGGCUAAAUACUUCCUUGUGACCGAUAGCGUAUAGUACCGUGAGGGAAAGGUGAAAAGCACCCCGAGAGGGGAGUUAAAAGUACCUGAAACCAUAUGCCAACAACCAGUUGGAGUCCGCCAGCCGGCGGAUGACAGCGUGCCUUUUGCAUAAUGAGCCAGCGAGUUGCUCGUACGUAGCCAGGCUAAGGGUUUAAGACCUGUAACCGAAGCGAAAGCGAGUCUGAAUAGGGCGAAUGAGUUACGUGCGGCAGACGUGAAGCCGGGUGAUCUACCCAUGUCCAGGAUGAAGCGGCAGUAAGAUGUCGUGGAGGUCCGAACCAGGAGAUGUUGAAAAAUCUUUGGAUGAGGUGUGGGUAGGGGUGAAAGGCCAAUCAAACCCGGAGAUAGCUCGUUCUCCCCGAAAUAGCUUUAGGGCUAGCCUCGAUAAAAAAAUGUCACGGAGGUAGAGCACUAAUAGGGUUAGGGGGCCCACCGGCCUACCGCCCCCUGUUAAACUCCGAAUGCCGUAGACAUGUUCAUCGGGAGUCAGCGUGUGUGGGAUAAGCUUCAUACGCGAGAGGGAAAGAACCCAGACCAUCGGCUAAGGUCCCCAAGUUACAGCUCAGUGAUAAAGGAUGUUGGGCCGCCCAGACAACCAGGAUGUUGGCUUAGAAGCAGCCACCAUUUAAAGAGUGCGUAAUAGCUCACUGGUCAAGCAGUUUGGCGCCGAUAAUUUUCGGGACUAAGCUGUACACCGAAGCCAUGGUCCCGAUACAUUAGUAUCGGGAGGUAGGGGAGCAUUCCAUUAACCGUCGAAGGUGAAUCGCGAGGUUUGCUGGAGGAAAUGGAAAAGAGGAUGCUGGCAUAAGUAGCGACAAAACAGGUGAAAAACCUGUUCACCGAAAAUCUAAGGUUUCCUGAGUAAAGUUAAUCUGCUCAGGGUUAGUCGGUCCCUAAGGCGAGGCCGAGAGGCGUAGUCGAUGGGAAACGGGUUAAAUAUUCCCGUACCAGUUUUAAUUUGUUUGAGUGAAGUGGUGACGCAGAAGUGAAAGGUCAUCCGUCUGACGGAAUAGGCGGUUUAAGCAUGUAGGAAGGAAGCGCAGGCAAAUCCGCGCUUUUGUUAAUUCUGAGAUGCGAAUAGGAGGGCCUAGCCCACAAACUGACCCUAAUCCAGCUGCCAAGAAAAGCUGCUAAACGAGAAUUAAAGCUGACCGUACCGUAAACCGACACAGGUAGAUGAGGAGAGAAUCCUAAGGUGCUCGAGAGAGCCUUGGUUAAGGAACUCGGCAAAAUAACUCCGUAACUUCGGGAGAAGGAGUGCCAGGAUCUGUGAAGAAAUUUACUUUUAGAGCGGAUCCGGGCCGCAGUGACCAGGCCCAAGCGACUGUUUACUAAAAACACAUGUCUCUGCUAAGUCGUAAGACGACGUAUAGGGACUGACACCUGCCCGGUGCCGGAAGGUUAAGGGGAACGCUUAUCGUCUUCGGACGAGAAGGUGUGAACUGAAGCCCCGGUAAACGGCGGCCGUAACUAUAACGGUCCUAAGGUAGCGAAAUUCCUUGUCGGGUAAGUUCCGACCUG